Non-coding RNA from Podarcis lilfordi (Lilford's wall lizard), 79 nucleotides. Lineage: Eukaryota; Metazoa; Chordata; Lepidosauria; Squamata; Lacertidae. The record is from the annotation of a GenBank genome assembly.
GGGGAAGUCCUUAUAGUUUAGUGGUAGAGUAUCUGCUUUGCAUGCAGGAGGGUCCCAGGUUCAAUCCCUGCUAUCUCCA